This is a long non-coding RNA of Mustela lutreola (European mink), 1594 nucleotides long. RefSeq lists it as uncharacterized. Lineage: Eukaryota; Metazoa; Chordata; Mammalia; Carnivora; Mustelidae. The record is from RefSeq and is a predicted model, not a curated record. The transcript is spliced from 4 exons.
GCCUGCGCGUGGGACGGAGGGAAGAAAAAUGGCAGCUCCGAGCUUCCCCGCACCGCUGCAUGGGCGCGUGGGCCGAGGCGCCUUCACCCAUGUGUACGAGUCCGUGGAGGAUAGGUUCCUGCUGCUGGAGGCGCUGGAGGCAGCAGCGGCUGAACUGACAGGAUGCGAGGAGGACGAGGGUCCCCGUGGGAGAGGGCUUCAGCGUUCUGGAGAGGCGGCGGCAAAGGGGAGCCCGGGAAAGAAGGCGUGCAGUCCGCAGGAGAGGAGGCGGUGUCCGCAGACUUGGCGAACAUGGAUACCAGAACGCUGAGUGGAAAUAUGCCUUGAAGUAGGAUCAGGGUCUGGAGUGGUAUCUGUAUUCCUAGCCUCUAUGAUAGGUCCUCAAGCUUUGUACAUGUGCUCUGAUAUCAACCCUGAAGCAUCAGCUUGCACUUGGAGACAGCACACUGUAACAAAGUCCACAUUCAGCCAGUAAUUACAGACUUGUUAACAGGCCUAUUAAAACGACAAACAGAAAUGCUUUUAGGAACCUGGAUAAAAUGGAAGUUGUAAGGCUGUGUGUAUAUAGCCCAGUGAUGUGUCCAGUGCUGAGAUGGUAAGACUGAGUGUUAAAUAACUUUUUACAUCACAUGAUGUAAAAGCUCUUUCCUCUCUAAUCCUCCUUCAGCCAUUUUGAUUACAUCUGGGAGAAGGUCUCAGUUUUAACACCUUUUAAACACUUGCAAAGGUCUCUUUUUUCCCUCUCUCUUCAAGAUUUUAUUUAUUUACAUAUUUAUGAGGUUACUCAUUAGCACAGUAGGUAGCGAAUCAGUCUCAUAUUUACCUAUUUAUGUAUUUAUUUAUUAUUUAUUUGAAUGACAGACAGAGAGAGAGCACAAGCAGGGCAGAAGAAGGAGAGGGACAAGCAGUCUCCAUGCUGAGAAGCCUCCCUCCCCCCACAGUGGGCAGGUGGGUGUGGGAGUGCUUCAUGUGGGGCUCCAUGUGGGACUCCAUGUGGGACUCAAUCCUAGGACUCUGGGAUCAUGAUCUGUGCUGAAGGCAGAUGCUUAACUGACUGAGGCCCCCCAGGCGCCCCUUCAAAUGUCUCUUUAACAAAGAGGCAGAAGGCCUGCAUCACCCUCAGACUGGAAGCAAUAACUAUAACCAUGACAUUUUUAAAAAUUUAUAUCCCAUUUAUUCUUGUAGUCAUUUCUAUUUCCAGGAAGUAAUACUGAUUUCCCUUUAGAGCAAAUUUAUUUAACAACAACAACAACAAAAAAGGUCCAUUUAAAGAAAAAUAUUUAGUGAAUAAUGGUAGGUCUCUAUACAUAUAUAGGAGAAUUGUAAGAAUGUUAAUAAAAUACCUGAUACUUCGGACACUGCCUUGAAGUAUUUCAGCUAUUCCAUCUCAAGAAACAGCCUCAGGGGGUGCCUGGUUGUUACAGUUGGUUAAGUGCAGUUGCUAGGUGACUGACUCUUAAUUUCAACUCAGGUCAUGAUCUCAGGGUUUGUGGGAUAGAGCUCCACAUCAGGCUCCAUGCUCAGUGGGGAGUCUGCUUCCUCUUCCUCUGCCCUUUUCAGGCAUGUGUGCUUGUGUGUGCGCUCUGUCUCUCUC